This 218-nucleotide long non-coding RNA is filed under the name Lathyrus oleraceus (garden pea). Its description in RNAcentral is "Pisum sativum (pea) long non-coding RNA (PSAT_LNC014063)". The record is from RNAcentral. Lineage: Eukaryota; Viridiplantae; Streptophyta; Magnoliopsida; Fabales; Fabaceae.
CUGGUUAGCGUGUGCUAUUUGUUUGGAGUCGGAUGUAAGCCCAUGUAUUGGCAUUCUGUUUCCUUGUUUGUGUUGUCUGUUUGGAGUCGGAUGUAAGUCCAUGUAUUGGCAUUUUGUUUCCUUGUUUGUGUUGUUUGUUUGGAGUCGGAUGUAAGUCCAUGUAUUGGCAUUCUGUUUCCUUUUGAGUGUUUCUUUUGACGUCUCAGCGUCUCUUUUCG